RNAcentral lists this ribosomal RNA (165 nucleotides) under Enterobacter sp. NFR05. RNAcentral describes it as "16S rRNA. Bacterial SSU". It matches the Rfam family "Bacterial small subunit ribosomal RNA", at positions 1 to 159 of the family's 1533-position model. The record is from RNAcentral. Lineage: Bacteria; Pseudomonadati; Pseudomonadota; Gammaproteobacteria; Enterobacterales; Enterobacteriaceae.
UUAAAUUGAAGAGUUUGAUCAUGGCUCAGAUUGAACGCUGGCGGCAGGCCUAACACAUGCAAGUCGAACGGUAGCACAGAGAGCUUGCUCUCGGGUGACGAGUGGCGGACGGGUGAGUAAUGUCUGGGAAACUGCCCGAUGGAGGGGGAUAACUACUGGAAACGG